Long non-coding RNA from Canis lupus familiaris (dog), 790 nucleotides. RefSeq lists it as uncharacterized. The transcript is spliced from 2 exons. Lineage: Eukaryota; Metazoa; Chordata; Mammalia; Carnivora; Canidae. The record is from RefSeq and is a predicted model, not a curated record.
AGAAUGUGGAGGAUGUAAUUAGAUGAGUGCAUAGUGGCACAUGGCCUCUUCCUUGUUCUCUUGGCUCACAUCUUUGAAGGAAGCCAGCUGUCAGGUCAUAAGAACAGCCCUACAGAGAGCCCUACAGUGAGGAGAAACUGAGGCCUGCCAUGCAGAGCCAUGUGAGCGAGCCAUCAGGAGGCCCCGGUCAAGCCUUCAGAUGAUAGCAGCCCCAGGAGAGGUCUUGAGUGCGACUCAUGAGACUCUGAGCCAGAAGCACUUAGCUGAGCAGCUCUCAAGCUCCUGACCCACAGAGUCUGUGAGAUAGUAAACAUGUCUUGUUUGAAUUCUCCAAGGCUGAGGGCUUUUUGUGAUGCAACAAUAGAAAACAAUCAUGUGAGUAAAUAGUCUCCACACUGAUCUUUCACAGGGCUACACUGUUCACUUAGUAACCAAGCCCUGGACAAGCGAGCUUGACUUCUUCCAGAAGAAGAUGUUGUUUUCUUGCAGCCAGUCCUCUGGUCAGAGCCAGCCAGACUCUGCGGGCAGCUGUCCCCAGGCCAUCUGAGAUUCCACAAGGCUGAGGCCCUUGCUGGAGGCCCUGAACUAUGUUUGCGCAGAGGAGUUCUGUUUGACGUUCCACCUGUGCAUAGGAAGCUUGUGAGGACAAGCAGAGCAAGUACAUGGAAGUCUGCACAAGUGACAAAAGAAUAUACAUUUUGAGACAUUAAGAGAGGUCAUUGGAACACUAGGUUUCCUUAAAACAAAGGCUUCUGUUUCUCACGGGCAAACAUGAGUGGAAAAAAAAAAA